CCUACGGGAGGCAGCAGUAGGGAAUAUUGCUCAAUGGGGGAAACCCUGAAGCAGCAACGCCGCGUGGAGGAUGAAGGUUUUCGGAUUGUAAACUCCUUUUGUUAGAGAAGAUAAUGACGGUAUCUAACGAAUAAGCACCGGCUAACUCCGUGCCAGCAGCCGCGGUAAUACGGAGGGUGCAAGCGUUACUCGGAAUCACUGGGCGUAAAGAGCGCGUAGGCGGGAUAGCAAGUCAGAUGUGAAAUCCUAGGGCUUAACCAUAGAACUGCAUUUGAAACUGUUAUUCUAGAGUAUGGGAGAGGUAGGUGGAAUUCUUGGUGUAGGGGUAAAAUCCGUAGAGAUUCAGAGGAAUACUCAUUGCGAAGGCGACCUGCUAGAACAUAACUGACGCUGAUGCGCGAAAGCGUGGGGAGCAAACAGGAUUAGAUACCCCAGUAGUC
This 440-nucleotide ribosomal RNA is filed under the name uncultured bacterium. RNAcentral's name for it is "partial 16S ribosomal RNA". It matches the Rfam family "Bacterial small subunit ribosomal RNA", at positions 338 to 795 of the family's 1533-position model. The record is from RNAcentral.